Molecule: long non-coding RNA, 2199 nt
Filed under: Capsicum annuum
Lineage: Eukaryota; Viridiplantae; Streptophyta; Magnoliopsida; Solanales; Solanaceae
Description: long non-coding RNA (CANN_LNC009059)
Source: RNAcentral
CAACUUAAGAAUCCUCUCAUCAUAACCUUGAAAGAGUUUCUACCAAAACUUGCAUCAGGUAUGUAGUUGUUACUAUGAUUAAUGGAUAUUUUCUUAGUAUAGUGGCUAUAGUAAUACUCGAUUAUCACUUAAUUGUACUGUUCCUAGCCUUUCCCUGAAAGCGUGAGGCUUUGUAAAGUUCUUGGGGGGUGGCAGAAUGUAAUUAGGCAGAAUAGUAAUUUGGUUGGGUAGCUUUAAUUUCUAACUAUUGUUUAUUGUUUUAAGAUAAUAGUGGUCAUAAUGUUUUAAUGAUCUUCUGGAAAUUAAUUGUAUAUAAGCAGUGUAUUAAAAAGUUAGAAAUAGUAUAAUGUUGUUCACUGGAACAAAGUCUAGAAUGGUAAUGAUUAAUAUCAGUGGCGGGGGCGGUGGAAUUAAGCCCUCGAAAACAGUAGUAGUAUAAGAAUUCUUGGACUUUUACUUAUUCCGUUAAGGGCUGGUUAUUAAGUUAAUGGAAAAGAUCAUUUAUUAAUGGUGUUAAAUUAAUAUAUAUGGUUUAGGCGUGAUUGGAUAAUAUCCCGAGAUGUAAAGGAAGUAGAUCAAAUUUUGUUACUUUUUAUAUAGUGGUGUGCAAUGAUUACAUAAUCAUUGCCUUAUGACAAUGAGAUGGCAAAGUCAUUACCAUUAUAUGUUAGGCCGCAAUUACUGUUUCGUGGAAUUUUAUAAAUUCUCCCUGAAUUCAAGUUCAGUUCUAUAUUUUAAUUUUUAUAUUUUGGACUACUACUUAGAAUGAGAUUAUUAUAGUAAUAUAGGUGUAAUUAAAUUUCUACUCUUUUUUGGAAUUUCGUCAAAUGACAGAUCUUAAUCAUUUGGAAGUUUUACGUAAGGGCAAGUUUAUAAAUUGACGUUUGGCUUCGGUUUGAGGCAAGUUGAGACUUUCCUUAGACUCUUUUUCAAAGUGCUUAUUUGUAUAUUUGUUAGUUAUGUGUAAUGGGAGCAAUGGGAAUUGGGGGUCCCGUAUAGGUGAUUGUGACGAGCAUCUAUGCACGCACCGGUGUUGUUUGAGGGGAUAAAAUAAGUUAAUUGUAUGUUUGCACUGUUUUGAGAAUACUCUUACUUGAUAAGUUGAGUUGAUUUUGAAAUUGAUGUCUGAUCUAACUUAAGACACGAAGUGCUUUACUUGACUUUAUUGUUGUUUGAGGAUCGAAGUAGCACGCCUGCACAUCAUGCAUUGCAUUUCAUAUGGGAUCGGAGUGCACGUCUGCACAGUAUUAUAUAUAUUUGCUGGGAUCGAAGUGCACGCCUGCACAGUAUUAUAUAUAUUUAUUAGGAUCGGAGUACACGCCUGCACAAUAUUAUAUAUAUUUAUUGGGGUCGGAGUGCACGCCUGGACAAUAUUAUAAAUAUUUAUUGGGAUCGAAGUGCACGCCUGCACAGUAUAUAUAUUGGGAUCGGAGUGCACGCCUGCACAGUAUAUUUAUUGGGAUCGAAGUGCACGCCUGCACAGUAUAUGCAUUUGCAUUGCAUUACAUCGCAUUAUAUGGAUUCAUUUGGUUCAGAUUGGUUAAAGUAUAUUUGUUGACCUUGUACUUAUUGUGUAUGAGUUAUUUAUUUCACUGGAUUGAGAAAUUUUUGGAUUGUGGUAUGAUAUCCUUAUGACUGUUCAACUUGACUAUUCAAUUAGAUUAAGGUGGUCUUCCGAGCGCAGGUUAUAUGUUGUGUUUAGAUGAUUUAUAUGGUGUCACUCGUCACCACUUUGAAUUAGGGUCGGUCAAUGAUGUUUGCUGAGUACACGUGAUUCCGUACUCACUCUUGCUUUUUUUUUCACCCUACGUGCAGGUACAGAUCUGACGACAUCUGGAUAUUGAUCCCCGUGGUUCCUUCUUUGCUAGUUUCAUCGGAGAUUCGAGGUAAUUGCUACUGGCUUUAGAGACUACGGAAAUCUCCUUCAGCCUUAUUCUUAUGCAUUUUUUUCGCAUUUUGAAAGACUCGAACUUUCUUUUGGUCCUAUAUUUUAGUGGCUUGUAUUAGUGACUUCCAGACCUGCGAUAUCUACGAAUUGAUGUUUCCAGUCUAUUUAUCUACAUUAUGAGAUUGUUUAGGAUUGAUUUCAUUCUUAUUUUCUUUCGCUUAUAUGAGUUUGAGAUGUUGUUCUUGAAAUUGGGUAUUUGGCUUACCUAUUACAGAGGAUGGAAUAGGUGCCAUCACGGUCCCGGAUUUGGG